UGUAGGUUGGCUUAAUUGAUAGUGAUCCUUAAACUUUGCAGUUUCAACCUAACAAUGAAAAGUUUCUCAAAGAUCCUAUAUGUGUUAAUUACCAAGUAUCCUCCAACUGCAUCUAUCCAUUUGGG
This is a long non-coding RNA of Papaver somniferum (opium poppy), 125 nucleotides long. RefSeq lists it as uncharacterized. NCBI's taxonomy places the organism in Eukaryota, Viridiplantae, Streptophyta, Magnoliopsida, Ranunculales, Papaveraceae. The record is from RefSeq and is a predicted model, not a curated record. The transcript is spliced from 2 exons.